GAAAUGCGAUAAGUAAUGUGAAUUGCAGAAUUCAGUGAAUCAUCGAAUCUUUGAACGCACAUUGCGCCCGCCAGUAUUCUGGCGGGCAUGCCUGUUCGAGCGUCAUUUCAACCAUCAAGCCCCCGGCUUGUGUUGGGGACCUGCGGCUGCCCGCAGGCCCUGAAAACCAGUGGCGGGCUCGCUGUCACACCGAGCGUAGUAGCAUACAUCUCGCUCAGGGCGUGCUGCGGGUUCCGGCCGUUAAAAGCCUUUUUUUACCCAAGGUUGACCUCGGAUCAGGUAGGAAUACCCGCUGAACUUAAGC
RNAcentral lists this unclassified non-coding RNA (304 nucleotides) under plant metagenome. RNAcentral's name for it is "partial contains 5.8S ribosomal RNA, internal transcribed spacer 2, and large subunit ribosomal RNA". The stretch from base 1 to 105 matches the Rfam family "5.8S ribosomal RNA", at positions 50 to 154 of the family's 154-position model. The record is from RNAcentral.